CUGAGUUUACAAACUCCCAAACCCAAUUGUGAACCGUACCUAAUCGUUGCCUUCGGCGGGCGAGGCCCACAGCCGGGCCUCGCGUCCCAAGCCCCCGGGGAACAGGCAGCCCGCCAGGAGGCGUAACCAAAACUAUAUCAUAGUAGUCCCCUCGCGGACGUAUUCUUACAGCUCUGAGCAAAAAUUCAAAAUGAAUCA
Molecule: unclassified non-coding RNA, 198 nt
Filed under: soil metagenome
Description: partial internal transcribed spacer 1
Source: RNAcentral